Molecule: long non-coding RNA, 332 nt
Organism: Siniperca chuatsi (mandarin fish)
Lineage: Eukaryota; Metazoa; Chordata; Actinopteri; Centrarchiformes; Sinipercidae
Exons: 3
Source: RefSeq, a predicted model, not a curated record
GUUGGCCAGGCUGGGGUCCUCCAGGUUGACUUGGAGUACCAGGAAAAGAACCCAGGCUGGCAGGAAGAGCAGCCAGAAGUACGCUCCUGGAGGAAGGAGAAGACACACCAGGGAUUCUAAUGUCGCCACUUUGAUCAGGCCUAAUUAUCAAAAAAGUGAAGUGAAUUGAUAGGGACUCUACAUCUGCAUACAACACAGUCAUCUUCUCCAACAUCAGCAGUGCUAUGACAAGAAAACAAAAAGGCAGCUGGCACUUACCAGGGGACUGAGCCUGACUUCUAGUGCGUCCUUCAGGUUUGUAUCCCUGCGGGAGGACGGUGCACUCUCCGUUA